Molecule: ribosomal RNA, 253 nt
Filed under: uncultured bacterium
Lineage: Bacteria
Description: partial 16S ribosomal RNA
Rfam family: Bacterial small subunit ribosomal RNA
Source: RNAcentral
UACGUAGGGGGCAAGCGUUGUCCGGAAUCAUUGGGCGUAAAGAGCGUGUAGGCGGUUCGGUAAGUCGGCUGUGAAAGUCCAGGGCUCAACCCUGGGAUGCCGGUCGAUACUGCCGGACUAGAGUUCGGAAGAGGCGAGUGGAAUUCCCGGUGUAGCGGUGAAAUGCGCAGAUAUCGGGAGGAGCACCAAUGGCGAAGGCAGCACUCUGGGACGUGACUGACGCUGAGACGCGAAAGCGUGGGGAGCAAACAGG